UGCUGCGGAGUGUCAUUGUGGCCAGGGUUUGGGUGUCUGCGGAAGUUGUCGGACACGGUAAAGAAAGCGAUACACAGCAAAAAAGUGGGAGGGAAACGCUAUUCGUAUGAGCUGGGAGGGUUUACAAAAACUUAGUGCACGUGGGAAAACAUAAAUUUGAAACUCCCAGUCCCGUGCUUACAGCAAACGUGAAAACACCUGGAACGGCGAAAGGCUCGACUGACCGGCACCAUCUUUGUUGGGGGAAAUGAGCCGCAGGACAAAUGAACCGCCGCCAACUUUGUUCGGGCAGGUUUCAGCGGGACGCAUGCGCACCCUCCCCUGGUAGAGCGUGUUCGCGGAGAAUUGGCGGAGACACCAGCGAUCUUUGCGAAAACUCCUGAUGACUGUGCAGACGGUGAUGUUUGGUGAUGGUGCUUCCACAAUGCAGUUAGGUUAUUACAAAUGGACUUGCAGGUGGGAAUCUCAAAAUAAUUAUAAUGUCAAACUCUGAAGAAUUGCUGAAUUUGUCAGGACCUGGAUAUUUGCAUUGUAUACAGCGAUAACCGGUAGUGGUUUAACCUGAAGAUUACCACGUCCCAGGCAAGGGGAGAAGUUGCGAAGGAAAGUCCACCUGUUCUCGUGUACCAGCAACACCCAUGUCACAUGUUAAAAAACCCUAAGCAUGAUAUUCAUUGAGACUGGGAUCUUAAAACAAGUUCUAACAGUCAGCAGAAUCAUUAGGAUCUGAAUAUCAUUGCCUUUUAACUGUGGAAAGAAAAAGGAUUUUGAACACUCCGUGUGCAGAAGAGUCUGUGAAUAUUCAUCUGACAUAUCCAAAUGCCUGCGCAGUCACACUGGGAAAAGACUGGAAAUGUGGGGAUCGUGGGAAGGGAUUUGUUUACCCAUCUCGGCUUGAAAUUCACCAACGCAGUCACACUGGGGAGAAACCAUUCUCCUGCUUUUAUUGUGGGAUGGGAUUCACUCAGUCGUCCCACCUGCAGACACACCAACGGGUUCACACCGGGGAGAGACCAUUCACCUGCUCCCAGUGUGGGAUGGGAUUCAGUCACUCCUCCAGCCUGCGCAUACACCAACUGCGCAUAAACCAUUCUCCUGCUUUGAUUGUGGGAUCGGAUUCACUUCAUCAUCCAGCCUGCAGAAACACCAGCGAAUUCCCACUGGGGAGAGAUCAUUCAUUUGCUGCGUAUGUGAAAAGGGUUUCACUCGGUCAUCCCACCUACAGAGACACCAGCGAAUUCACACUGGAGAGAGACCGUUUGCCUGUUCCAGUUGUGGGAAGGGAUUUACUCGAUCAUCCCACCUGCUGGAACACCAGCGAGUUCACAAUGGGGAGAGGCCAUUUGACUGUUCUGACUGUGGGAAGGGAUUCACUCGGUCAUCCCACCUGCUGGAACACCAGCGAGUUCACAAGCGGGAGGGACCAUUCAUCUGCUCCGAUUGUGGGAAGGGAUUCAUUCGGUCAUUCCACCUUGCAGAGACACCGGAGAGUUCACACUGGAGGGAAAGCAUUCAUCUGCUCCUGUUGUGGGAAGGGAAUUUACCCAAUCAUCCAACCUGUGGAUACACCAGCAAGUUCACACUGGAGAGAGACCAUUCACCUGCUCUGACUGUGGGAACAGAUUUAAACAAUCAUCUCACCUGCUGGAACACCAGCAAGUUCACACUGGGGAGAGACCAUUCAAAUGCUACAUGUGUGAAAAGGGAUUCACUCGGUCAUUCCACCUGCUGGAACACCAGCGAGUUCACAAGCGGGAGAGACCAUUCAUCUGCUCCGAUUGUGGGAAGGGAUUCACUCGGUCAUUCCACCUUGCAGAGACACCGGAGAGUUCACACUGGAGGGAAAGCAUUCACCUGCUCCUAUUGUGGGAAGGGAAGUUACCCAAUCAUCCAACCUGUGGAUACACCAGCAAGUUCACACUGGAGAGAGACCAUUCACCUGCUACUUGUGUGAAAAGGGAUUCACUCGGUCAUUCCACAUGCAGAGACACCGGAGAGUUCACACUGGAGUGAAACUUUGUACCUGCUCCGCUUGUGGGAAGGGAUUUACCCAAUCAGCCAGCCUGCAGAAUCACCAGCAGCAAGUUCACGCUGGGAAGAAACUUUCAGUCAGUCAACUCAAUUGCUGAUACCGCAGUGUGUUCCCUCCAUGGGGAGAGAUUCACUCUGCCAUCCAAACGAUUAAAACACCAGUGAAAUGACAGUGGGUGUGUCCUGUUCACCUACUCCAUUUGUGUUAAAUGUUUUGCUGUUUGCUCACACACCAGCAAAUUCACAAAAACCGUGGGUGAGGGACUUUGCUUUUGCUUACGCCAAGGAAUGAGCCUUGGUCAUUGUGUU
Molecule: RNA transcript, 2340 nt
Organism: Stegostoma tigrinum
Lineage: Eukaryota; Metazoa; Chordata; Chondrichthyes; Orectolobiformes; Stegostomatidae
Gene name: zinc finger protein 214-like
Exons: 6
Source: RefSeq, a predicted model, not a curated record